Molecule: unclassified non-coding RNA, 3664 nt
Filed under: Hevea brasiliensis (rubber tree)
Lineage: Eukaryota; Viridiplantae; Streptophyta; Magnoliopsida; Malpighiales; Euphorbiaceae
Source: RNAcentral
UGAGCACUCUAUAAAUAGUUGGAGAGGCCAGGCCACAGAGCUCAACAACUCAUACCUGUCAAAAAGCUUAUACACAACCCAUUUUCUUACACAUUCUCCUCAAUAUUUGAUUGGAUUCUUUUAAUUCUUGAACCUCUUGAUCCGCCUCUCUUUUUGCAAAUCCUUCAUAACCUUUGAAUCUUGCCUCCUUUUUUGUUUUCUUUUGCCUUAACAAGUAGGUUUACGAGUUUUGUUGGUGCUCAAAGCUUUUUCUUGAUCGUGCUUUCUGGUACAAACUUGAGGUUUUACUUUUUGGUGUUCUUGGCUUGACUAGGAAAGACAUUUACACGAGGGGAGGGGAGACACAGAGAAAAAAGAAAGAUGGAGCAGAAGCAUUUCUUGUUGUCUGCUUUGAGUGUAGGAGUUGGGGUUGGGUUGGGAUUGGCUUCUGGGCAGAGCAUAAGUAGAUGGGCUGGUGGAAAUGUUUCUCCAGAUGAUGUCUCAGCUGAGCAGAUUGAGCAGGAAUUGAUCAGACAGGUGAUUGAUGGCAGAGACAGUAAGGUCACCUUUGAUGAGUUUCCUUAUUACCUCAGUGAUAUAACUCGGGUUUCAUUGACAAGUGCUGCAUAUAUUCAUUUAAAGCACUCAGACGUUUCCAAGCACACCAGGAACCUCUCACCUGCUAGUAGGGCUAUUUUGCUUUCAGGACCUGCUGAACUUUACCAGCAAAUGCUCGCCAAGGCUUUAGCUCAUUACUUUGAGUCCAAGUUGCUGUUAUUGGAUGUUACUGAUUUUUCCGUAAAGAUACAGAGCAAAUAUGGAUGCACUAAAAAGGAAUCUUCUUUCAAGAGAUCCAUAUCAGAGGCGACAUUGGAACGAAUGUCCAGUUUGUUUGGUUCUUUCUCAAUCCUACCUCCAAGAGAAGAAAUAAAAGGCACAUUACAUCGGCAAAGCAGUAGUUUGGACAUUAGAUCAAGAAGUAUCGAAGGUUUGAAUAAUCAUUCCAAACUUCGCAGAAAUGCCUCUGCUGCCUCUGACAUGAGUAGCAUUGCCUCCCAAUCUGCUUCCACAAAUUCAGCUUCCCUCAAGCGAGUGAGUGGCUGGUGUUUUGAUGAGAAACUCUUUCUGCAAUCGCUUUACAAGGUAUUGAUUUUAAUAUCAGAAAGAAAUUCUGUCAUUUUAUAUCUUAGGGACGUUGAAAAGGUUCUUCUUCAAUCAGAAAGGAUGUACAACUUGUUCAGUAAAUUCUCGAAGAAACUUUCUGGUUCAGUUUUGAUACUUGGUUCCCGUAUGGUGGACCAAGAAGAUGAUUGCAGACAAGUAGAUGAGAGACUUACCAUGAUAUUCCCGUACAAUAUUGAGAUCAAACCACCAGAAGAUGAGACUCAUCUUGUCAGCUGGAAAGCACAGCUGGAAGAAGACAUGAAGAUGAUUCAGUUUCAAGAUAACAAAAACCACAUUGUUGAGGUACUUGCAGCAAAUGAUAUUGAAUGUGAUGAUUUGGCUUCAAUUUGUCACGCAGACACAAUGGUUCUUAGCAAUUACAUAGAAGAAAUUGUGGUGUCAGCAAUAUCAUAUCAUCUGAUGAAUAAUAAGGAUCCAGAAUACCGAAAUGGAAAGCUCGUUAUAUCAUCUAAGAGCUUGUCCCACGGAUUGAGUAUAUUCCAAGAAGGUAAAAGUGGUGGGAAAGAUACUCUAAAACUGGAAACAAAUGGUGAAGCUGGCAAGGACACUGAAGGGGAAGAGGCUGUUAGUGCAAAGGCUGAAACCCCAACAUCUGAAAAUAAGGGUGAAACAGAGAAAUCUGUUCCUGGAGUCAAGAAGGAUGGAGAGAAUCCACCUCCGGCUAAAGCACCUGAAGUUCCUCCUGACAAUGAAUUUGAGAAACGAAUCAGGCCAGAGGUUAUCCCAGCAAGUGAGAUUGGAGUGACAUUUGCAGACAUUGGUGCCUUGGAUGAAACUAAAGAAUCACUUCAGGAGCUAGUCAUGCUUCCUCUUCGAAGACCAGACCUCUUCAAAGGUGGACUUCUUAAGCCUUGCAGAGGCAUAUUGCUAUUUGGCCCUCCAGGCACAGGAAAAACAAUGCUAGCCAAGGCCAUAGCAAAUGAAGCUGGAGCAAGUUUCAUUAAUGUCUCAAUGUCCACCAUCACUUCAAAAUGGUUUGGUGAAGAUGAAAAGAAUGUCCGAGCACUGUUUUCACUUGCUGCAAAGGUCUCCCCAACUAUCAUAUUUGUUGAUGAGGUUGAUAGCAUGCUUGGGCAGCGGACCAGAGUUGGUGAGCAUGAGGCCAUGCGGAAGAUAAAAAAUGAGUUCAUGACACAUUGGGAUGGACUACUGACAAAACCUGGUGAGCGAAUUCUUGUCCUUGCUGCUACCAACAGGCCAUUUGACCUUGAUGAAGCAAUUAUUAGGCGGUUUGAGCGCAGAAUUAUGGUUGGUCUUCCAUCCAUUGAUAGCAGAGAAAUGAUUUUGAGAACUCUUCUAGCAAAAGAGAAAACUGAGGAUCUGGACUUCAAGGAGCUUGCAACCAUGACAGAAGGAUAUAGUGGAAGUGAUCUUAAGAACUUGUGUGUGACAGCAGCUUAUCGACCUGUUAGAGAGUUAAUACAGCAGGAAAGAUUGAAAGAUAAAGUAAUCUUCUCCCUUCUUGAAUAUUCCUUUUUGUAUUGUCUUAUUGACUAAAUAAUAUUUUUAUUUCUUUUGUUUCUUCAAUGAUCUCUCUUCAGGAAAUAAAGCAGAAAGCUGAAGAAGGCACAAGCUCAGACGAUGCUUCAGGUACAAAAGAAGAAGACAAAGAGGAAAGAGUAAUUAUUCUGAGGCCUUUAAACAUGGAAGAUAUGAGGCAGGCUAAGAAUCAGGUAAUCUUUCUUGCAAAUUCAAGUCUUUCGUUGUCAAUAAACUCCAAAUGUCAUCAUAUGCAUAAACGUGCUUAUAGCUUUCUUGUGUCUGAAACCUCUCAUCUCUAACUUCUGAUUUUAGAUGCCAAUAGCUGGCACUAGAUUUCACUCAAGAUCCUCCAAAUGGUAUCACACUAGUUUCAGUUUCUGGAAGAGGUAUUCCAGAUAUAGAACGUUUCUUAAAAUGAAUGCUGCGAUGCAGGUUGCUGCAAGUUUCGCAGCUGAAGGAUCAAUAAUGAGCGAGCUAAAGCAAUGGAAUGAAUUGUAUGGAGAAGGAGGUUCAAGGAAGAAGCAACAAUUGACUUACUUCCUCUAGAUUGUAGAAAGCUGUCAUUUUAGAGGCAAAUCAGUAAUAGAAAGGAGAUCAAAGUUCAAGGAAAGCCAGCGCGCCGCAAGUGAAACCAGAAAUGUGAUUGUUCCAGGCAUACAACUGUGCAGCAGUGAAUAGAAAGCUGCAACACCAGUCAACAGAGUGAAAUUCUAGCAACUCCAGCAGAGCUUGUGUCAGGGUGCUGUGUAUUUUCUAAAAUCAUUGUCUGAAAUUUGUGCUCCAUGCAAACAAGAGAGGGUUCUAUUGUUUGUUUAGGCCAUCCUAAGAACAUUGGAAACCACAUUUGGUAUUGUAAUUAUGUUGUGGAACUUGGAAAUGCAUACGGAUUUGUGGAAUUUAGGAGGAACCCUUUUAUAUUGGGUUUAUAUUUGCACCCUAUAAACUAUAUUAUCGUACAGUAGCAUUUGUACAUUGGUCUUGUAUAAACUAGUAUACUUCUUAAUCUUGUAGAAUUUAU